RNAcentral lists this transfer RNA (71 nucleotides) under Rousettus leschenaultii (Leschenault's rousette). RNAcentral's name for it is "tRNA-Lys". It matches the Rfam family "tRNA". From Rfam's summary of the family: Transfer RNA (tRNA) molecules are approximately 80 nucleotides in length. The record is from RNAcentral. Lineage: Eukaryota; Metazoa; Chordata; Mammalia; Chiroptera; Pteropodidae.
CAUUAAGAAGCUAAUUCUCAAGCGUUAACCUUUUAAGUUAAAGAGUGGGAGCACUAACCUCCCCUUAAUGA